Molecule: ribosomal RNA, 509 nt
Filed under: uncultured bacterium
Lineage: Bacteria
Description: partial 16S ribosomal RNA
Rfam family: Bacterial small subunit ribosomal RNA
Source: RNAcentral
GACGAACGCUGGCGGCGUGCUUAACACAUGCAAGUCGAACGGGCCUUGUCCCCUUUUUUUUUUGGGGGUGGGGCUAGUGGCGAACGGGUGAGUAACACGUGAGUAACCUGCCCCUCACUUCUGGUUAACCGCUUGAAAGGGUGGCUAAUCCGGGGUGUUCUGGCCUGCUCGCGCGGGUGGGUUUGGAACGAUUCGACCGGUUUUGGUUGUUUUGGUGGGGGGUGGGUUGGCGGGCUAUCAGCGUGUUGGGGGGGCGAUGGCUUGCCAAGGCUUUGACGGGGAGCGGGCCUGAGAGGGUGGGCCGUCACUGGGAGACUGAGACGCGGCACAGACUCCUAGGGGAGGCAGCAGUGGAGAAUAGGGCACAAGGGGCGCAAGCCUGAUGCAGCGACGCCGCGUGAGGGAUGGAGGCCUGGGUGGUGUGAACCUCUUUCGGCAGUGAAAAAGGUCCUGCUCUUUGUGGUGGGGUUGACAGGAGAUGGGUUGAUGAAGCACCGGCUAACUACGUG